GGGUCAGUAGGUUGGUCGUGCCACCGGUACGUACUGGUCUCACUGAUUCCUCCUUCCUGAAGAACCGUAAUGCCGUUAAUUUGGUGUUGCGGGGAAACAGGACUGUUACUUUGAAAAAAUUAGAGUGUUUAAAGCAAGCUAACGCUUGAAUACAUUAGCAUGGAAUAAUGAAAUAGGACGAUCGAUCCUAUUUUGUUGGUUUCCAGGAUUGACGUA
RNAcentral lists this ribosomal RNA (216 nucleotides) under Glomeromycotina sp. Its description in RNAcentral is "partial small subunit ribosomal RNA". The stretch from base 40 to 216 matches the Rfam family "Eukaryotic small subunit ribosomal RNA", at positions 686 to 864 of the family's 1831-position model. The record is from RNAcentral. Lineage: Eukaryota; Fungi; Glomeromycota.